GGUGAGGUGGCCGAGAGGCUGAAGGCGGCGGUUUGCUAAACCGUUGUAGGGUCUUUAAAACCCUACCCAGGGUUCGAAUCCCUGCCUCACCGCCA
RNAcentral lists this transfer RNA (95 nucleotides) under Acidobacteriota bacterium. RNAcentral describes it as "Acidobacteria bacterium tRNA-Ser". It matches the Rfam family "tRNA". Rfam says of the family: Transfer RNA (tRNA) molecules are approximately 80 nucleotides in length. Lineage: Bacteria; Pseudomonadati; Acidobacteriota. The record is from RNAcentral. RNAcentral also lists the same sequence under 2 other names.